GACGAACGCUGGCGGCGUGCCUAACACAUGCAAGUUGAGCGACGAACCAGGGCUUGCCCUGGGGCAAAGCAGCGAACGGGUGAGUAACACGUGGGUAACCUACCCCGAUAACCGGGACAACCCGAGUAAACUCGGGCUAAUACCGGAUGUGCUCACUGGACUUCGGUUCAGUGCGUAAAGGAAGCUUCGGCCUCCGUAUCGGGAGGGGCCCGCGGCCCAUUAGUUUGUUGGUGAGGUAACGGCUCACCAAGACCGCGAUGGGUAGCUGGUCUGAGAGGACGAUCAGCCACACUGGGACUGAGACACGGCCCAGACUCCUACGGGAGGCAGCAGUGGGGAAUCUUGCGCAAUGCGCGAAAGCGUGACGCAGCAACGCCGCGUGGGGGAAGAAGGCCUUCGGGUUGUAAACCCCUUUCAGGAGGGACGAAGGUUCGGCGGUGAAUAGCCGUCCGGACUGACGGUACCUCCACAAGAAGCCCCGGCUAACUACGUG
RNAcentral lists this ribosomal RNA (493 nucleotides) under uncultured bacterium. RNAcentral's name for it is "partial 16S ribosomal RNA". It matches the Rfam family "Bacterial small subunit ribosomal RNA", at positions 28 to 507 of the family's 1533-position model. The record is from RNAcentral.